Molecule: ribosomal RNA, 1118 nt
Filed under: Escherichia coli
Lineage: Bacteria; Pseudomonadati; Pseudomonadota; Gammaproteobacteria; Enterobacterales; Enterobacteriaceae
Description: partial 23S ribosomal RNA
Rfam family: Bacterial large subunit ribosomal RNA
Source: RNAcentral
AUGGUUAAGUGGGAAACGAUGUGGGAAGGCCCAGACAGCCAGGAUGUUGGCUUAGAAGCAGCCAUCAUUUAAAGAAAGCGUAAUAGCUCACUGGUCGAGUCGGCCUGCGCGGAAGAUGUAACGGGGCUAAACCAUGCACCGAAGCUGCGGCAGCGACGCUUAUGCGUUGUUGGGUAGGGGAGCGUUCUGUAAGCCUGUGAAGGUGUACUGUGAGGUAUGCUGGAGGUAUCAGAAGUGCGAAUGCUGACAUAAGUAACGAUAAAGCGGGUGAAAAGCCCGCUCGCCGGAAGACCAAGGGUUCCUGUCCAACGUUAAUCGGGGCAGGGUGAGUCGACCCCUAAGGCGAGGCCGAAAGGCGUAGUCGAUGGGAAACAGGUUAAUAUUCCUGUACUUGGUGUUACUGCGAAGGGGGGACGGAGAAGGCUAUGUUGGCCGGGCGACGGUUGUCCCGGUUUAAGCGUGUAGGCUGGUUUUCCAGGCAAAUCCGGAAAAUCAAGGCUGAGGCGUGAUGACGAGGCACUACGGUGCUGAAGCAACAAAUGCCCUGCUUCCAGGAAAAGCCUCUAAGCAUCAGGUAACAUCAAAUCGUACCCCAAACCGACACAGGUGGUCAGGUAGAGAAUACCAAGGCGCUUGAGAGAACUCGGGUGAAGGAACUAGGCAAAAUGGUGCCGUAACUUCGGGAGAAGGCACGCUGAUAUGUAGGUGAAGCGACUUGCUCGUGGAGCUGAAAUCAGUCGAAGAUACCAGCUGGCUGCAACUGUUUAUUAAAAACACAGCACUGUGCAAACACGAAAGUGGACGUAUACGGUGUGACGCCUGCCCGGUGCCGGAAGGUUAAUUGAUGGGGUCAGCGCAAGCGAAGCUCUUGAUCGAAGCCCCGGUAAACGGCGGCCGUAACUAUAACGGUCCUAAGGUAGCGAAAUUCCUUGUCGGGUAAGUUCCGACCUGCACGAAUGGCGUAAUGAUGGCCAGGCUGUCUCCACCCGAGACUCAGUGAAAUUGAACUCGCUGUGAAGAUGCAGUGUACCCGCGGCAAGACGGAAAGACCCCGUGAACCUUUACUAUAGCUUGACACUGAACAUUGAGCCUUGAUGUGUAGGAUAGGUGGGAGGCUU